This 505-nucleotide ribosomal RNA is filed under the name uncultured bacterium. Its description in RNAcentral is "bacterial SSU rRNA". It matches the Rfam family "Bacterial small subunit ribosomal RNA", at positions 28 to 521 of the family's 1533-position model. The record is from RNAcentral.
GAUGAACGCUAGCGGCAGGCUUAACACAUGCAAGUCGAGGGGCAGCAUAAUGAAGUAGCAAUACGGAAUUGAUGGCGACCGGCGCACGGGUGCGUAACGCGUAUGUAACCUACCCUUAACAGGGGGAUAACACUGAGAAAUUGGUACUAAUACCCCAUAAUACCUUAGAGGGCAUCCUCUGAGGUUGAAAGUUCCGGCGGUUAAGGAUGGACAUGCGUUGUAUUAGCUAGUUGGUGAGGUAACGGCUCACCAAGGCGACGAUACAUAGGGGGACUGAGAGGUUAACCCCCCACAUUGGUACUGAGACACGGACCAAACUCCUACGGGAGGCAGCAGUGAGGAAUAUUGGUCAAUGGACGCAAGUCUGAACCAGCCAUGCCGCGUGCAGGAUGACGGCUCUAUGAGUUGUAAACUGCUUUUGUAUAAGGGUAAACCCAGGUACGUGUACCUGGCUGAAAGUACUAUACGAAUAAGGAUCGGCUAACUCCGUGCCAGCAGCCGCGGU